Homalodisca vitripennis (glassy-winged sharpshooter) is the source of this 250-nucleotide long non-coding RNA. RefSeq lists it as uncharacterized. NCBI's taxonomy places the organism in Eukaryota, Metazoa, Arthropoda, Insecta, Hemiptera, Cicadellidae. The transcript is spliced from 2 exons. The record is from RefSeq and is a predicted model, not a curated record.
UUUAGUAGGGAUUCUACAGAUGAUAUACCUACAUCUAUUCCUGCACCACUAUUACCACUAGUGCCACCUAAACAGCAUGACAAAACUCUAGAGAGGCGGUUUUGGAAACAGUUAAGAAGAAGAAGAACAACACAUACAGACAGUGUCUCACCAAAGUCAUCUUCAAUCCCAGCCUCAUAGCAAAAAUAGAAUUUAUUCAACCACAAUGUGUUUCAAUUAGUUAGAAUUAAAUCAUUUGAAACUAAGUCAA